Molecule: ribosomal RNA, 505 nt
Filed under: uncultured bacterium
Lineage: Bacteria
Description: partial 16S ribosomal RNA
Rfam family: Bacterial small subunit ribosomal RNA
Source: RNAcentral
GACGAACGCUGGCGGCGUGCCUAAUACAUGCAAGUAGAACGCACAGUUUAUACCGUAGCUUGCUACACCAUAGACUGUGAGUUGCGAACGGGUGAGUAACGCGUAGGUAACCUGCCUGGUAGCGGGGGAUAACUAUUGGAAACGAUAGCUAAUACCGCAUAAUAUUAAUUAUUGCAUGAUAAUUAAUUGAAAGGUGCAAUUGCACCACUACCAGAUGGACCUGCGUUGUAUUAGCUAGUAGGUGAGGUAACGGCGCACCUAGGCGACGAUACAUAGCCGAACUGAUAGGGUGAUCGGCCACACUGGGACUGAGACACGCCCCAGACUCCUACGGGAGGCAGCCGUAGUGCAUCUUCGGCAAUGGACGGAAGUCUGACCGAGCAACGCCGAGUGAGUGUAGAAGGUUUUCGGAUCGUAAAGCUCUGUUGUAAGAGAAGAACGGGUGUGAGAGUGGAAAGUUCACACUGUGACGGUAUCUUACCAGAAAGGGACGGCUAACUACGUG